This 336-nucleotide unclassified non-coding RNA is filed under the name soil metagenome. Its description in RNAcentral is "partial contains 5.8S ribosomal RNA, internal transcribed spacer 2, and large subunit ribosomal RNA". The stretch from base 1 to 120 matches the Rfam family "5.8S ribosomal RNA", at positions 35 to 154 of the family's 154-position model. The record is from RNAcentral.
GAUGAAGAACGUAGCGAAAUGCGAUAAGUAGUGUGAAUUGCAGAAUUCAGUGAAUCAUCGAAUCUUUGAACGCACAUUGCGCCCCUUGGUAUUCCAUGGGGCAUGCCUGUUCGAGCGUCAUUUGUACCUUCAAGCUUUGCUUGGUGUUGGGUGUUUGUCUCGCCUUUGCGUGUAGACUCGCCUUAAAAUAAUUGGCAGCCGGCGUAUUGAUUUCGGAGCGCAGUACAUCUCGCGCUUUGCACUCAUAACGACAGCGUCCAAAAGUACAUUUUACACUCUUGACCUCGGAUCAGGUAGGGAUACCCGCUGAACUUAAGCAUAUCAAUAAGCGGAGAA